GGCGUAGGGCGCGAGCGUUGUCCGGAUUUACUGGGCGUAAAGAGCGCGCAGGCGGUCGUUCAAGUCGCGUGUGAAAGCCCCCGGCUCAACUGGGGAGGGUCACGCGAUACUGAUCGACUCGAAGGCAGGAGAGGGAAGUGGAAUUCCCGGUGUAGUGGUGAAAUGCGUAGAUAUCGGGAGGAACACCAGUGGCGAAGGCGACUUCCUGGCCUGUUCUUGACGCUGAGGCGCGAAAGCUAGGGGAGCAAACGGG
This 253-nucleotide ribosomal RNA is filed under the name uncultured bacterium. RNAcentral describes it as "partial 16S ribosomal RNA". It matches the Rfam family "Bacterial small subunit ribosomal RNA", at positions 524 to 776 of the family's 1533-position model. The record is from RNAcentral.